AGUGAACGCUGGCGGUAGGCCUAACACAUGCAAGUCGAACGGCAGCACAGUAAGAGCUUGCUCUUACGGGUGGCGAGUGGCGGACGGGUGAGGAAUACAUCGGAAUCUACUUUUUCGUGGGGGAUAACGUAGGGAAACUUACGCUAAUACCGCAUACGACCUACGGGUGAAAGCAGGGGAUCUUCGGACCUUGCGCGAUUGAAUGAGCCGAUGUCGGAUUAGCUAGUUGGCGGGGUAAAGGCCCACCAAGGCGACGAUCCGUAGCUGGUCUGAGAGGAUGAUCAGCCACACUGGAACUGAGACACGGUCCAGACUCCUACGGGAGGCAGCAGUGGGGAAUAUUGGACAAUGGGCGCAAGCCUGAUCCAGCCAUACCGCGUGGGUGAAGAAGGCCUUCGGGUUGUAAAGCCCAUUUGUUGGGAAAGAAAAGCAGCAGGUUAAUACCCCGCUGUCCUGACGGUACCCAAAGAAUAAGCACCGGCUAACUUCGUG
RNAcentral lists this ribosomal RNA (492 nucleotides) under uncultured bacterium. Its description in RNAcentral is "partial 16S ribosomal RNA". It matches the Rfam family "Bacterial small subunit ribosomal RNA", at positions 29 to 507 of the family's 1533-position model. The record is from RNAcentral.